GGCAAGGUGGCCGAGUGGUCUAAGGCGCACGGUUCAGGUUUUCACCUGAUCCAUCACAUUCCGUGUCAUGAAAAUGGCGUGGGUUCGAAUCCCACCCUUGUCA
Paecilomyces variotii is the source of this 103-nucleotide non-coding RNA. The record is from the annotation of a RefSeq genome assembly. Lineage: Eukaryota; Fungi; Ascomycota; Eurotiomycetes; Eurotiales; Thermoascaceae.